AAUCAACGCUGGCGGCGUGCCUCAGACAUGCAAGUCGAACGCGAAAGUUUCCUUCGGGAGACAAGUAGAGUGGCGCACGGGUGAGUAACACGUAGGUAAUCUACCUUUGGAUGGGGAAUAACAACCGGAAACGGUUGCUAAUACCGCAUAAUGCAGCGGCACCUAAUGGUGACAGUUGUUAAAGCGGGGAUCGAAAGACCUCGCGUCUGAAGAGGAGCCUGCGGCGGAUUAGCAGUUGGUAAGGUAAUGGCUUACCAAGGCUACGAUCCGUAACCGGCCUGAGAGGGCGGUCGGUCACACUGACACUGACAUACGGGUCAGACUCCUACGGGAGGCAGCAGUCGGGAAUCUUGCGCAAUGGGCGAAA
RNAcentral lists this ribosomal RNA (367 nucleotides) under uncultured bacterium. Its description in RNAcentral is "bacterial SSU rRNA". It matches the Rfam family "Bacterial small subunit ribosomal RNA", at positions 32 to 380 of the family's 1533-position model. The record is from RNAcentral.